RNAcentral lists this ribosomal RNA (431 nucleotides) under uncultured bacterium. RNAcentral describes it as "partial 16S ribosomal RNA". It matches the Rfam family "Bacterial small subunit ribosomal RNA", at positions 29 to 507 of the family's 1533-position model. The record is from RNAcentral.
AACGAACGCUGGCGGCAGGCCUAACACAUGCAAGUCGAGCGCCCCGCAAGGGGAGCGGCGGACGGGUGAGUAACGCGUGGGAGCGUACCCUUUGCUACGGAAUAGCCUCGGGAAACUGGGAGUAAUACCGUAUGUGUCCUUCGGGAGAAAGAUUUAUCGGCAAGGGAUCGGCCCGCGUUGGAUUAGGUAGUUGGUGGGGUAAUGGCCUACCAAGCCGACGAUCCAUAGCUGGUUUGAGAGGAUGAUCAGCCACACUGGGACUGAGACACGGCCCAGACUCCUACGGGAGGCAGCAGUGGGGAAUCUUAGACAAUGGGCGCAAGCCUGAUCUAGCCAUGCCGCGUGAGCGAUGAAGGCCUUAGGGUUGUAAAGCUCUUUCAGGGGGGAAGAUAAUGACUGUACCCCCAGAAGAAGCCCCGGCUAACUCCGUG